This 255-nucleotide ribosomal RNA is filed under the name uncultured bacterium. Its description in RNAcentral is "partial 16S ribosomal RNA". It matches the Rfam family "Bacterial small subunit ribosomal RNA", at positions 210 to 465 of the family's 1533-position model. The record is from RNAcentral.
GCCUUGCGCUAUCAGAUGAGCCUAGGUCGGAUUAGCUAGUUGGUGAGGUAAUGGCUCACCAAGGCGACGAUCCGUAACUGGUCUGAGAGGAUGAUCAGUCACACUGGAACUGAGACACGGUCCAGACUCCUACGGGAGGCAGCAGUGGGGAAUAUUGGACAAUGGGCGAAAGCCUGAUCCAGCCAUGCCGCGUGUGUGAAGAAGGUCUUCGGAUUGUAAAGCACUUUAAGUUGGAGGAAGGGCAGUUCCUAAUAC